Molecule: ribosomal RNA, 700 nt
Filed under: uncultured Rhizobiaceae bacterium
Lineage: Bacteria; Pseudomonadati; Pseudomonadota; Alphaproteobacteria; Hyphomicrobiales; Rhizobiaceae
Description: bacterial SSU rRNA
Rfam family: Bacterial small subunit ribosomal RNA
Source: RNAcentral
AGAGUUUGAUCCUGGCUCAGAACGAACGCUGGCGGCAGGCUUAACACAUGCAAGUCGAACGCCCCGCAAGGGGAGUGGCAGACGGGUGAGUAACGCGUGGGAACAUACCCUUUCCUGCGGAAUAGCUCCGGGAAACUGGAAUUAAUACCGCAUACGCCCUACGGGGGAAAGAUUUAUCGGGGAAGGAUUGGCCCGCGUUGGAUUAGCUAGUUGGUGGGGUAAAGGCCUACCAAGGCGACGAUCCAUAGCUGGUCUGAGAGGAUGAUCAGCCACAUUGGGACUGAGACACGGCCCAAACUCCUACGGGAGGCAGCAGUGGGGAAUAUUGGACAAUGGGCGCAAGCCUGAUCCAGCCAUGCCGCGUGAGUGAUGAAGGCCUUAGGGUUGUAAAGCUCUUUCACCGGAGAAGAUAAUGACGGUAUCCGGAGAAGAAGCCCCGGCUAACUUCGUGCCAGCAGCCGCGGUAAUACGAAGGGGGCUAGCGUUGUUCGGAAUUACUGGGCGUAAAGCGCACGUAGGCGGAUAUUUAAGUCAGGGGUGAAAUCCCAGAGCUCAACUCUGGAACUGCCUUUGAUACUGGGUAUCUUGAGUAUGGAAGAGGUAAGUGGAAUUCCGGGUGUAGAGGUGAAAUUCGUAGAUAUUCGGAGGAACACCAGUGGCGAAGGCGGCUUACUGGUCCAUUACUGACGCUGAGGUGCGA